This 2817-nucleotide long non-coding RNA is filed under the name Olea europaea (common olive). RNAcentral's name for it is "long non-coding RNA (OEUR_LNC001674)". Lineage: Eukaryota; Viridiplantae; Streptophyta; Magnoliopsida; Lamiales; Oleaceae. The record is from RNAcentral.
GUCUUCCGGUGGGUAUCAUAACAAAAGAAUCAAAAAGCGGGGUUCAAGCAUCGGAGGUCAAUGCUGGAGGUAAAGGCAAGGCGUAAUGAUUAACUCGGCCCAGUUUGUGCUUGCUAAAUUAAUAUCUGUAGUGUGCUUCAUCAAUUACCUCCAGCGAGUUCGAAUCUUCCUUGCUCGAUUAUUUUUAAAGCUUUUCGCUUCUUUUUGUAAUUUGUAAGCACUCAAAUUAAGUAUGAGAUCCAGACAUUUGCAGUCUUGAGAGCUAGAUUUUUCUAUAUUAACAGAAUUACAUCUCGGAAUCCGCUUAGAGAAUCUGAGAUUCUUGUGACCAUUUUGAGAUAUUUAUCGUUUGAAUGAAACCUUGUGGUAGGAACUCCGUACAUAUUAUCUGUAAUGUCCGUUUAUUAUGUGGGGUCUUAUCAGUAUUGUAUGGUUAUGCUCUUGAUUGCAGAUCAGCUUGAUAUUACAUCGGGCUCGUUUUGUGAUUUCGUCAUGUAUAUUGUUGCUCUCAUAAGAAGGGAUUAGGCCUUUAAUCGCUAGGAUUGUCUCUGAUAUAGUUAGCGCCAUUUUGUUUGGCUAAAAAUUAGAUUUUUAAUAAAUUUUGAUAAAAAGUUGAUUAUAUUGACAAGAGCUGCGAAUUCCAUGAAUAUAUGGUUAUAAUUAAUUGUUGAUCUCUUAAAUUUUUAUCGACUUUUUUUAGCCAAAUCAAAUAGGUACUUGGUAAUUUCUUGAAAUUUGGGUUUGUGUACCAUUUGUGUUGGAUUUAUCAAGUAGGUUAGACAUGAACACCAUCGGCUUGUUUCCGCUUAAAAAAUCAUCGAUUGGCAAGGAAGUAGUAUUUUGUAGAUGCAGAUGUCGAUUGCAAACUUUUGUACAUAAUCAAAUCUCAUGAUUACCAGUAUGGCAAAUUUUAUUGUAAAUCAAUUAUGAUCUUGCUCAACCUUUAAAUCAGCAAAUGUCGUUUAGUUUCAAAUACAACUAAGCCCGUUCCAUCUGAACUAGACUUGGGCGUGCUAUGGAUUUUGUUUGUUCACCCUUCUGAAAAUGGAAGAAUGAAUAGGAAUUUUCUAUUCCCAUGCAACUUGAGGGAUAGCAAGAUUUUUUAAAUAAUCAUUGAGAAUGUUUGUUUUAAACUUUCUUGGCAUGCCAUAAAGUUGUGGAUGUGGGAUUUCUCAGAAUUUUCUCUUGCGAGUCAUUCUUCUCUGCUCUUGUCAAUUUGCCCACCCCAUCUUUGUCUGUCCAAGCUCAUUUUGAAUGUCUUGUAACAGAAUCAAGGUUUUUCUAUGGCCGAUCUUUCAUAGAAAAAUUGAUUCGUGAGAAUUGGUUCAAAAGAAGCAUCUCUAUUUCUCUCUUUGUUGUUCAUGGUGUAUGAUGUGUGCUAUAGUGGAGAACAGCAUUUUUGGUUAUAUUUGGGGUGAUUUAGAGAUACAACAGGAUUUUUGAAGGAGGAGAGUAAGAAGUUUCUGAAUUAUCGGAUAGGGCUAAAUUUUUAGAAUCGCAACAAUUUCUUGAACAACCUUUUUGACUCGGAGCUUUAGAAUAGGAGUAUAAUUCUCAUGCUGGAUUUGUUGUUGAGUUAUUUUCUUGCUGUGAAAUAUCCAGAAUUAUUCAUAUAUGUACAGUACAGAAUGCAUGAUGCUGAAGCUUCCCUCUUUCUUAUCACUUAUUUGUGAAGCUAGCACUGGAGGAAUAUCUUUAUCUUUUCUGUAGAUUAGAUUACUGUUCGGCGAGUUUUGAACCGUUACGAUAAUUGUGAUCCCUCCACAAACCAUGACGAGUUUUAUCCUCUUUAUCAGGCAGAUGUUAUAAUGGCCUUAGCUGGAUUGAAUGGAGGAUCUUGGUCAACAACUUACGCGCCAAAAUCUGCAUUAGGACCUCCGACUGGAGAUAAUUGUAUUCCCAGCGAUGCAGGCAUUGGUAUACCAAGGGAGUUGCACGAUAGGACAUCAGAUGGAGGGAAAUCCCACCAUGGUUUUGGCUCUGGUGAUUAACAAUUUCUUAUCCCAAUUUUUCACACACGUAAAAUUCGUUAAUGCCAUAUUUUUCACCAUGGUAACGGCAUUUGCUCGAAGUUUUCUGCAAAUUGUAGGUAAUUAUCAAGUGAACAUCAUUGAGAUUCAAGAUGAACUCCUUUUAUGAGAGUUACAUCAAAUGGACUUAGCUUUUUGCCAAUCUAUACUUGCACUUUCCUAAAUAUUGAAUAUGGUGACACUUAUAUAUAGAAUUGGAUGCACAUUGUAGGCAGUCUUCCGGUGGGUAUCAUAACAAAAGAAUCAAAAAGCGGGGUUCAAGCAUCGGAGGUCAAUGCUGGAGGUAAAGGCAAGGCGUAAUGAUUAACUCGGCCCAGUUUGUGCUUGCUAAAUUAAUAUCUGUAGUGUGCUUCAUCAAUUACCUCCAGCGAGUUCGAAUCUUCUUGCUCGAUUAUUUUUAAAGCUUUUCGCUUCUUUUUGUAAUUUGUAAGCACUCAAAUUAAGUAUGAGAUCCAGACAUUUGCAGUCUUGAGAGCUAGAUUUUUCUAUAUUAACAGAAUUACAUCUCGGAAUCCGCUUAGAGAAUCUGAGAUUCUUGUGACCAUUUUGAGAUAUUUAUCGUUUGAAUGAAACCUUGUGGUAGGAACUCCGUACAUAUUAUCUGUAAUGUCCGUUUAUUAUGUGGGGUCUUAUCAGUAUUGUAUGGUUAUGCUCUUGAUUGCAGAUCAGCUUGAUAUUACAUCGGGCUCGUUUUGUGAUUUCGUCAUGUAUAUUGUUGCUCUCAUAAGAAGGGAUUAGGCCUUUAAUCGCUAGGAUUGUCUCUGAUAUAGUUAGCGCCAUUUUGUUU